Molecule: RNase P RNA, 395 nt
Filed under: Pseudoblastomonas halimionae
Lineage: Bacteria; Pseudomonadati; Pseudomonadota; Alphaproteobacteria; Sphingomonadales; Erythrobacteraceae
Description: Alteriqipengyuania halimionae Bacterial RNase P class A
Rfam family: Bacterial RNase P class A
About the family: Ribonuclease P (RNase P) is a ubiquitous endoribonuclease, found in archaea, bacteria and eukarya as well as chloroplasts and mitochondria. Its best characterised activity is the generation of mature 5'-ends of tRNAs by cleaving the 5'-leader elements of precursor-tRNAs. Cellular RNase Ps are ribonucleoproteins.
Source: Rfam by way of RNAcentral
CCAGGGGGCCGGGCAGCCGCGUUGCUUUUUGCACCGAGGAAAGUCCGGGCUCCGUGAAACAAGGGUGGCGGGUAACGCCCGCCGAGAGCAAUCUUAGGGACAGUGCCACAGAGAGCAAACCGCCGAUGGCCCAACGGGCACAGGCAAGGCUGAAAGGGUGCGGUAAGAGCGCACCGGGGGCCUGGUAACAGGUCUCGCAAGGUAAACCCCACCUGGAGCAAGGCCGAAUAGGGGCACCGCGCCGAAAGGUAGGGGCGUUUCGACCCGAGGUGCCCGGGUUGGCUGCUCGAGCGGCGGAGCAAUCCGUCGCCUAGAUGAAUGGCUGCCCCCGCGCGGCCGGUGCCUUUGGCAUACCGCGCGCGGGACAGAACCCGGCUUACAGGCCCCCUGGCAAU